RNAcentral lists this ribosomal RNA (483 nucleotides) under uncultured bacterium. RNAcentral describes it as "partial 16S ribosomal RNA". It matches the Rfam family "Bacterial small subunit ribosomal RNA", at positions 28 to 507 of the family's 1533-position model. The record is from RNAcentral.
GACGAACGCUGGCGGCGUGCUUAACACAUGCAAGUCGAACGCUGAAGCUCAGCUUUUGUUGGGUGGAUGAGUGGCGAACGGGUGAGUAACACGUGAGUAACCUGCCCCCUUCUUUGGGAUAACGCCCGGAAACGGGUGCUAAUACUGGAUAUUCACUGGUCUUCGCAUGGGGGUUGGUGGAAAGGGUUUUUCUGGUGGGGGAUGGGCUCGCGGCCUAUCAGCUUGUUGGUGGGGUGGUGGCCUACCAAGGCUUUGACGGGUAGCCGGCCUGAGAGGGUGACCGGUCACAUUGGGACUGAGAUACGGCCCAGACUCCUACGGGAGGCAGCAGUGGGGAAUAUUGCACAAUGGGCGCAAGCCUGAUGCAGCGACGCCGCGUGAGGGAUGGAGGCCUUCGGGUUGUGAACCUCUUUCGCUCAUGGUCAAGCCGCAACAAUGGUUGUGGUGAGGGUAGUGGGUAAAGAAGCGCCGGCUAACUACGUG